UACAGAGGGUGCAAGCGUUAAUCGGAAUUACUGGGCGUAAAGCGUGCGCAGGCGGUUCGUUAAGUUCGUUGUGAAAGCCCCGGGCUCAACCUGGGAACUGCAAUGGAAACUGGCGGGCUUGAGUGUGGCAGAGGGGGGUGGAAUUCCGCGUGUAGCAGUGAAAUGCGUAGAGAUGUGGAGGAACACCAAUGGCGAAGGCAGCCCCCUGGGUCGAUACUGACGCUCAUGCACGAAAGCGUGGGUAGCAAACAGG
Molecule: ribosomal RNA, 253 nt
Filed under: uncultured bacterium
Lineage: Bacteria
Description: partial 16S ribosomal RNA
Rfam family: Bacterial small subunit ribosomal RNA
Source: RNAcentral